GGGAGGGGGGGUUACUCUUACACGUGGUGGUGGUGGUGGGGGAAGGAGGGGCAGUUGGGGUUGAAUUACUCAGCCAACAUGACUCAUCAAAGUCCGCAUCACGUUUUUGUCUUCCUUGUUUCCCUCGCAGCACUGAAACCUGGCACCACAUUCUCACACGUUUCCACACCUUAUCUCUGUUACUUCCAGGCUUUAAUGUAAGGUACUGAGCAUUAGGAGGGUAUUUUCAUUAUCUUACUAAUGGCUUAAUACGGAUUCUGCAUUAUCACUAUAAAAAAAAAUAAAAAAAAAACAUCCUUGAGGACCCAACUAGUCGUCUCUAAGGCUUUUGCUUUCAGGUACGCUUUCAUGGUUCAAGUAGUUGUUUAACAAGACAAGGAUUCUGCAUUAUCAAUGGGAAAAAAACACGCAGGAGAACCUGAUUGAUCAUCUCCGCGACCUUUGCUUUCAGACCACCUCCGUCCCUUGUAUCCCCCGAUGCAAUAACCACGCUCACGCGCCCCUCAGAACCUUGUACCUUUGUCAACACUAAACCAGAUGGAGGAGGAUGAAGAUAAUGGAGCGACAGAAAGGUUGAGCAGCUGACUGAACUUUGCCUGCAGCGCCCAAUACCGGUCGUUCAGUCCAUCUUCCUAUCAUCCUAUACUUUGCUCUUCCUCCACCUCGUUUUCUUCCUCGAGUUACCGAGUACACAUUUCUUUUACUAUCUUAUAUAAUUCAGUUUCCACUAGUUUCUUUUACAUUACUCAUUCUCAUUUUCUCCAAACGAUCACAUGGCUAUAUUUUUAAUGCAGCACCAUGACCCGUUGCUAUGGCGCACGAAAAUCAAGCCAUAUGUCUUCUUAGGCGCCAUACAUUCCUCCCCAUCAAGGCCUUUCUACGCACAUUCCUCGUCUGCUACCUUCCUUGCUUUCCGUGGGGGAGGCUGAGCGACCAAGACGGAUCGCUGCAAACCAAACUACACCACAAUAAUUUACUCUUCCAGGAAACAAGAAAGAAUCAAGUGGGGAAACACCCAAUGAAAAUUCCUAAGUCAUACAUGGACGUUUUUGUUUUCCUUCCUGUUCCUCGAUAAAUACACUGGUUUUGGUUGACGUGAAGGUUCUCAACUACUGCGCACUGCACGGUGUUUGUUUAAUCCCCAUAUUCAAAUUUAUUCUGUGAGGAUGUGACAGUCAGACCUAGUGUUCUAAGUAAUUAAGAUGGUAAUGAUUAAGGAAGAAUACGAGAGAGAGAGAGAGAGAGAGAGAGAGAGAGAGAGAGAGAGAGAGAGAGAGAGA
Molecule: long non-coding RNA, 1280 nt
Organism: Scylla paramamosain (green mud crab)
Lineage: Eukaryota; Metazoa; Arthropoda; Malacostraca; Decapoda; Portunidae
Exons: 2
Source: RefSeq, a predicted model, not a curated record